ACGAUGUCUAGCUUCUUCUUCUUUUUUUUUUUUUUUUUUUUUUUUUUUUUUUUCCCUAUAAAUUUGUGGUUAUUUCUGUGCGUUUGCUCUGCUACUUAGCUGAUUAUUGAGGUUAUUAGAUGAAUUGGAUGGGAUUUGAUUUUUUUCUCUUAUGUGCCAAUUAAUCUGUAGCUAAUUCAGGCUAUUUCUUGAAUAAACUUCAACACCUCGUUAGUCAUCAAAAGUUCAUAAAUAUUUAACAGUAAAAUGUUUUCUUGUUCUAUACCAUUUUAAUGUGUAAACCUUGUUUUCCUUGUCCUUUGUUUCCUCCUUUAUAAGAUAAACCUACAUUGUUAAUCAAUUUACCUUUUGCACUGCUAUUUGACAUAGAAAUUAAGACUACAAUUUUUUCCUGCUAUUUAGUUAGUUUUACUACAAUUUGGUGAGUGUUUUGUUGUUUUACAGGGCAGACCUUUUGUAGAAUCUAUAUAUAUAGAAAUUGAUAAUUACUUGAAAGCCUUUUUGCACUAUAUUAUGAAAGGAAUUUCUCCAUUACAGGCACAUUGGGCAUGCCAUUUUUUUUUUUUUAAUUUUUUUUUUACAUUUUGUGUUUCUUAUGUAUGAGGGUAGGAUGGAAACCAAAUUAAGAUCUUGUAUCUCCCUAUAAUAUGAUAGUUUACUUCACCAACAUCCAUUUGGAUGAUAACACUAGGUAUAGGACAGGACAACUUGGGUGGGUUUCCUAUUGUAACAUGGCACACUUCAAUCCGAUCUGAAUACCACCAAGAUAUUACCUUAUCUACUAUUAUUUAUCCUACCUUACCAAACAAAGAAGAAGACAGACAUUAUUAGUAGAUAGUCAUCUGAUCUCUUGUCCUAACUUUGGCAUAUUAAAUGAGCUCUAAGUUUGUAGAAUGGUUGGGGAAAUUUGUCCCAAUUGAAUCAAUGGAUUUCUUUUGCAAAUAUAUGUUUUCUGAAAAUUGAGUCAUUGGGGACAACAUUGCUUGGUGGCUCUCUUGUUUGUCAAAGAGACUAAUUGCAUUACACAAAUUGGCGCUUAGGGCUUUUAGAAGGCUCUGUUUACAGCUAGCAUAAUUUUGUUUCAGUACAACGUGAGGGACGACUUUAUGUAUCAUGGUCAUUGGACAAACUAGAGUGGAAGUCAUAAGGAGUUGGAAGUGUAUUUGUAAUGUUUUAUAUAUCAUCAAGCAGAAUUUUUAGGCCUAAUAAUUUUUAUCAUCCAUAAGACAAUUUUAUAUUUCUCAAACAGAGCUUUGUACUUCUACUGCAAUUAUCUAGAGUUUAUGAACUUUAGGUGUAUUGAUGGCUUCACCAUUUCAGGCUGGUCUUGCAGUAGUUAAGCUGCUAUUGCCCUUGCUGGUAGAUAUGGUAUUCAUGCUUGGCCAGAUUUUAAGGCAUGGCAAUUGAAAUCAAAAUUACACAGAUCUUAUGGUGGUUUCCAGGCUUCAAUAACAAAAUAGUAGUAUUAUGGUUGUAUAAAAUGGGUGGAAAACCAUAUUUCAUUUUCAUUUUUGUCUUAAGCUUUUAGCUUGGCCUUUUGGUUAAACCAUCUUAUUCUUCCUCUUAUUGAGUGCAAAUAUGAUGGUAUAUAAUUUAACAGGGAGAUGCUAUUCCAAAUAAGAUGGAAGGUUAUUUAUAAGUUAGCACAGACAUAGAUUGUGCUUGUAAACCAUCCUGACUCAGGUGGCUGGUCUUGUCUUUCUUCUAAAAUCGAUGAAGCUAAAAGUUUGAUGCUCAGGAAGAGAGGGCACUGGACCAGCAUUUUGAUACAAUUGAAAAUGCCUUACUUUCAGAGUUCAACCAAGGAUGCAAGUGCAACUCCAGAUGACAAAUGCCAGUGGAUUGGCUAUUUUGUUACAAUGAAAGUACCUCACUUUCAGGGCCUUGGCUUGUGCAUUUUCUCGUGAGGUACUGGCCUCUUUAUUCUAUAGCUAUGAUUGAAAAUCCCUCACUUUCAGGGCAUUGACUGAUCUAUUUGGCAACUAAAAUUUCAAAUGCAACUUUGAUGGAAAAUGUGACCAAUAAGGAAGCUGAUAUAUAAUUGAGUAAUAAGUACCUUAAGCGAAAGAAGGAAAAGCCAAGUUGAGAAACGUAUCAUAGCUCAUGCCUAAUGUAGCUAAAAUUAUGCUUUUUGAAGGACUUACAAUUAUGUAAGUAGGAAAAAAGUUUCUAAUAAUUUUUCCAGCUAUGUUUAAGACAGAACUUAGAAGUCUGGUCAGUAGUAGCUGGAAUAUACCCCUGACAAGUAGUAAAUUAGCAAACACAAAGUAGGUAUUUUCUAGUAGAGAUACCAACACAAUAUAUGGGCAAGGCAAUGCUAUGCCAAAGGAGCAAGACAAUCCCAUUUGUGAAAUUUUUCUUCUACACGUCAUACCUGAGAAUGCAUUAUUCUUAAUUUCUCUUUUUAAAUUCUUUAAAAUAGUUUUUUAAUAUUUAUAUUUAUAUUUAUUUAAUUUAGUUUUUAUAUAUAUUUGACACAUUAAGAUCUUAAAUAUUAUGAUACUUGUACGGUGUAACACAGGAUUUCAUAUCAGAUGCUUAUUUUAUUUUAUUUUA
Long non-coding RNA from Ziziphus jujuba (common jujube), 2556 nucleotides. RefSeq lists it as uncharacterized. The record is from RefSeq and is a predicted model, not a curated record. The transcript is spliced from 2 exons. NCBI's taxonomy places the organism in Eukaryota, Viridiplantae, Streptophyta, Magnoliopsida, Rosales, Rhamnaceae.